GACGAACGCUGGCGGCGUGCUUAACACAUGCAAGUCGAACGGAAAGGCCCUGCUUUUGUGGGGUGCUCGAGUGGCGAACGGGUGAGUAACACGUGAGUAACCUGCCCUUGACUUUGGGAUAACUUCAGGAAACUGGGGCUAAUACCGGAUAGGAGCUCCUGCUGCAUGGUGGGGGUUGGAAAGUUUCGGCGGUUGGGGAUGGACUCGCGGCUUAUCAGCUUGUUGGUGGGGUAGUGGCUUACCAAGGCUUUGACGGGUAGCCGGCCUGAGAGGGUGACCGGCAAAAUUGGGACUGAGAUACGGCCCAGACUCCUACGGGAGGCAGCAGUGGGGAAUAUUGCACGAUGGGCGGAAGCCUGAUGCAGCAACGCCGCGUGCGGGAUGACGGCCUUCGGGUUGUAAACCGUUUUCGCCUGUGACGAAGCGUGAGUGACGGUAAUGGGUAAAGAAGCACCGGCUAACUACGUG
This 468-nucleotide ribosomal RNA is filed under the name uncultured bacterium. RNAcentral describes it as "partial 16S ribosomal RNA". It matches the Rfam family "Bacterial small subunit ribosomal RNA", at positions 28 to 507 of the family's 1533-position model. The record is from RNAcentral.